GGAUCAUCACGUCCGACAGCUUUUUCACCGACUGGAUCAGCGCCCCGACAAUUGUCUUCAGCCCUGACCGUGGACGCCUUGGAAUUGCCACGGACUCUCAGCCACUAAGCGAAUGAACUUUGAGCUCAGUGGGCUAUUGCCUGACCUGUGGAAGAAUGCAGAAGCACACAGAGAGGCCUACUAAAUGUCUCUAGGUUAGCACUCCCAAGGUAUGUUCUACAGAGUUCUAAUCUCCCAACCGGGGCCCUUAAAUAAGGGGCUUGAUGAUGUUUGGGAAACCUGGCCCCUACAGUUUGCUCUUAGAAUGCCAUUAUAUAGAUAAUUCUGUCAAAGUCCUGCAGAAGCAAACAGAAACUUUAAUGCCGUAUUUUCUUAAAUUCUUUUCAAAAGGACCCUUUUUCUUAUAAUGACUAUUCGUUCCCAAGGACCAGCAGGAUUUAUUUUGACAAGCUCUAGGCUGAAGAGCUAGAAACAUCACUGCAUUCGAUCUCUUCGGACAGACAAAAACAUAAACCAUUCUAAUGGUACAGGGCAGGGCUUCCAGGGGCCGAUCCUCAUCGAUGGAAGGAUCAUAACUUCUUCCUUGGGUCUGAUCAUUGUGUCUUUGCCUUUCUCUCUCUCUUAUCCUGGUGUGGAAACCAAAUGCGCAGCAGCCUCCUUUGGGAACCCUCCUGAGCCCAGAGAAUGCGGGAGCCUGUCACAGAGGACGGGCUGGCGACCUCGACUCAGCGGCCAGUGUGAAGUGAGCCUGAAGAUGCCCUCAGGCCCUUGCUCACGCCAUCAAAAUGACGCUGAAGUCCAGCCAGUUCCAGGGGUCCCGG
This is a long non-coding RNA of Chinchilla lanigera (long-tailed chinchilla), 821 nucleotides long. RefSeq lists it as uncharacterized. The transcript has 3 exons. Lineage: Eukaryota; Metazoa; Chordata; Mammalia; Rodentia; Chinchillidae. The record is from RefSeq and is a predicted model, not a curated record.